Molecule: long non-coding RNA, 997 nt
Filed under: Capsicum annuum
Lineage: Eukaryota; Viridiplantae; Streptophyta; Magnoliopsida; Solanales; Solanaceae
Description: long non-coding RNA (CANN_LNC011441)
Source: RNAcentral
AAAAAUCCUACAAAUACAGACACCUUAAACAAAGGCUACACAAGUUCUCACAAACGAAUGCAUGGUGUCUCUCACACCAAAUUCAUUGUCCUCUUUAAACUCUUAACCAUCCCCAGGUUUGUUCACUUCAAACAAAGUGCUUUUCUUGAUUGUCCUUUUAUAACCAACAAUUGUUAGCAAAAAUAGUUUGAUAUUUGAUCUUUUGUUAUGUAUUUUAUUGAACAUGUUCUAGGUAUUUGAGGUAUCGGAGGUGAGCUUCGUUGAAAAGGAUGAGAUUAUGAUGGUGAGUUAAGUUUGGAGAAAGUUUGUUACUUGAUCUUGAAGCUUCGAGAAUGACCUUUGAAGGAACGUUCAAUGAUAGGAUGAAAGAGUAUUGCAAAAGAUAUUAAGUUUGAAGUUUAAACAAAAAAAAAUUAGUUGUUUUUAUUAAUUUAAUGAUACGCACGUGUUAUCUAAAAUUAUAUAUAUUUGUAUUUAUAUUUUAUCAGUUUAUGUUGUUGUGCAUGUUCCUCAAUUACAAUAUAAAGAUAGACAUGAAUUGAGAUGAAUAUGAAUAUGAACUCCACACUGAUAAAAGUGAUAUAUGUACACUUCAAAAGUCUGAGAUCAUGAUUGAGGAACAAGUCGUUAUUUAGAGAGAAGAUUGGGUUUUAUUUGUCCAUGAACUCUAAACUUAAAAUAAUUCUUAACUUAAAAGAAAAAUUAAUUAUUCUUGUACUAUUAAAAUAGGUCUCUAAUUAUUUUUCUUUUCUUAUUUAUUUGUUGAAUGCACUCUUUGAUUUUGUAACAGGUGCUUUGUGUUGGCCAUAUCGAAUCCAGGCAUUAAGAAUUAGUACAUUAGAUGAUACAGUUUAUCAGCCUUGGUUAAAGUACUCACAAUAUUAUCGUGCAUUUUCUCAUCUUCAUGGAUGAAUUUUCCCAUCAUCCCUUACAUUAUGUAGACGAUUAUUUGGGCUGCAUUGGACGAUAUUGUUGGCACGCGUUGCGUAACCUCGAG